Molecule: ribosomal RNA, 499 nt
Filed under: uncultured Lachnospiraceae bacterium
Lineage: Bacteria; Bacillati; Bacillota; Clostridia; Lachnospirales; Lachnospiraceae
Description: bacterial SSU rRNA
Rfam family: Bacterial small subunit ribosomal RNA
Source: RNAcentral
AGUUUGAUCCUGGCUCAGGAUGAACGCUGGCGGCGUGCCUAACACAUGCAAGUCGAACGAAGACUGCGCGGCGGAACUCUCCGGAGGGAAGAUGCGCAGGACUGAGUGGCGGACGGGUGAGUAACGCGUGGGUAACCUGCCCUGUACAGGGGGACAACAGCUGGAAACGGCUGCUAAUACCGCAUAAGCCUACAGUGCCGCAUGGUACAGCAGGAAAAACUCCGGUGGUACAGGAUGGGCCCGCGUCUGAUUAGUUAGUUGGCAGGGUAACGGCCUACCAAGACAACGAUCAGUAGCCGGCUUGAGAGAGUGGACGGCCACAUUGGGACUGAGACACGGCCCAAACUCCUACGGGAGGCAGCAGUGGGGAAUAUUGCACAAUGGGGGGAACCCUGAUGCAGCAACGCCGCGUGAGUGAAGAAGUAUUUCGGUAUGUAAAGCUCUAUCAGCAGGGAAGAAAAUGACGGUACCUGACUAAGAAGCUCCGGCUAAAUACGUG